This 449-nucleotide ribosomal RNA is filed under the name uncultured bacterium. Its description in RNAcentral is "bacterial SSU rRNA". It matches the Rfam family "Bacterial small subunit ribosomal RNA", at positions 29 to 524 of the family's 1533-position model. The record is from RNAcentral.
AACGAACGCUGGCGGCAGGCUUAACACAUGCAAGUCGAGCGCCCCGCAAGGGGAGCGGCAGACGGGUGAGUAACGCGUGGGAAUCUACCUAUCACUACGGAACAACUCCGGGAAACUGGAGCUAAUACCGUAUACGUCCGAGAGGAGAAAGAUUUAUCGGUGAUAGAUGAGCCCGCGUUGGAUUAGCUAGUUGGUGGGGUAAUGGCCUACCAAGGCGACGAUCCAUAGCUGGUCUGAGAGGAUGAUCAGCCACACUGGGACUGAGACACGGCCCAGACUCCUACGGGAGGCAGCAGUGGGGAAUAUUGGACAAUGGGCGAAAGCCUGAUCCAGCCAUGCCGCGUGAGUGAUGAAGGCCUUAGGGUUGUAAAGCUCUUUCACCGGUGAAGAUAAUGACGGUAACCGGAGAAGAAGCCCCGGCUAAACUUCGUGCCAGCAGCCGCGGUAAU